RNAcentral lists this long non-coding RNA (672 nucleotides) under Monodelphis domestica (gray short-tailed opossum). Its description in RNAcentral is "lncRNA (ENSMODG00000036302.2)". Lineage: Eukaryota; Metazoa; Chordata; Mammalia; Didelphimorphia; Didelphidae. The record is from RNAcentral.
CUGAAGAAGGCAGGGGCUCUAAGCAGCAGCCUUCUCCUCCCUUCUCUCCUCAAAACUCCUACUCCUCCUUGCUGCUCUUCUUUUGUCUCCUCAGACACAAUAAACCCAAGUCAAAUGUGAGGAGGAAGGCAAGAACAAGCAAGAGAGGAACUAGACAUCUGGCUAAACUUUGACUGCAAAGAGAAAGAAAAGUGUUGAUCCACCAUGAAGGGAAUGAAGAGGAAGAAUCCCAGAUGAAGAAUUUGGAGCCACUCCACAAGAUGAAUGUCAAUUUGUGGGACCAUUCCAUGCAGAUGCAUCCAUGUAGCCAGAGGAUGAAAUUAACAGAAGGGAAAUUAGACAGCUUUGUGGAAAGCUCUCCUGAAUUCUCCCGUUCAUCUGUCCACAUCCUGCAACACCUUGGGACAAGAAGGUAACUUUCACCUGGGAUAGCUACAGAUCAAAACGUUAGACUCUUUAGUUGGUGUGCUCUACAUUCCCUUCUGAUCACCUUCCCAAAACAGGAUCAUUAAUGAUGAAUUCAAGAAUAACUGGUAUUUAAUAUUAGAAGUAGCGUUAGUAUGAUACACCAGAAGCCUCUACUUCUAAAACACUACAAAUUCUUCUUAGUGAAGAUCCUGGGUCUGAAGUAGCCUGCUGUUAAAUUACAUUAAAGCACAAUUUAAUCAUGAA